Molecule: long non-coding RNA, 33084 nt
Filed under: Phaseolus vulgaris (common bean)
Lineage: Eukaryota; Viridiplantae; Streptophyta; Magnoliopsida; Fabales; Fabaceae
Description: long non-coding RNA (PVUL_LNC004136)
Source: RNAcentral
GAUCAUAUUGGCUAAUUAAAUAAGAAAAAGACAAACAAAAACAAUACAAAAGAAUCUGGUGGGUUGAUUAUUUUUUAUAGGAAAAGGAAGCCAAACACCUUUUUCUUUUCCCCUUAUUUAGGCACGAGUUCAGGUUUCUGACUAUCAUCAGUGCAAUCAUUCAAUGGAAGAUUAGUGAGUUCAUUAGUGCUUGCAGUUGCAGAGGUGUUUUGGAUAGGUCAUGUAUUUUUUCAGUACCAAUGCACUCUCUUCCUUCUUCCAUUUUGCCAAGUUAUUGAGCAAGAUGUGUUCCUGCGAUUGAGUUGUUACACGAAUCUCUGUUGUGGAGGGUUUAUAUGUAAAUUGGUACUAUGUGUAUUCUUUUCCUUUUUUCAUAAACUUAAUGAAAACUGUCUCUACGAUUUUAACCUUAGUGCAUCUUCUCUUCAUCGGUUAAAGUGCACAUUUUUGUUGCGUGAUAUUUGUUCGAGUGUUCUAAGACAAAUUAUUUUAUCUGUAUAGCAAAUGGGUGCAAUAUUGAAGAAACCUACUAUAGAUGGCGUCGUAACUCAAACAUUCAAGAUAUAAAUCUCAUGGCUGUCAGCUGCGGAAUAUAUUCUUGGGAAACUUAUUACUUAAUUACAUAUUUUAAAGUGUUUUUUUUUUUCAUGAAAUGAAAGGGUUUUUUAAAAGAUUUUUUGCAAUACUUUCAAGCCAUCCCUUAGGAAUUUUUGAUGAUGAUGAGAAUAAAAGUAUAGCAUACAAGGAUAAGAUAAGAAUGACAGAUACAUACUUCAGUAAUCUUUAGUGCGCAUCUUAAUAAAAAUAAGACAAUGAAAUGGUGAUGAUUGGGAAAACGAUCAUAAUAAUUAUUCAGAUAUUAAUUACAAUUGUAAUGGUUAUGACAAAAAGUUUAAGUGUUACAUAAAUUAAGAUAGUAUCAAAAUAGAUAAUAUUACUCUUUUACUAUAUCUAGUUUAAAUAUAACCUCGUAUACUAGUCAGGUGUCCGUGUCCGAUACGCGUGCGGAAGCGGAUAUAACCAGCUAUCUCGGAGCUUCAUAGAAUAUUAUAAGAAAUUUUCAUUUUAUAAACUUACAAUAUAUAGCACAGAGUUAUAACUUCAUUUUUUUUUAAGAUAAUGUGAGAAUCUAUCUCAAGUAAAAUAACAAUGAAUGUGAAAAAGUAGAAUUAUACUUAAACUUACUUCUUUUUCUUUUAAGAUAAUAUGAGAAUCAAUCUCAUCAAAUAUAAUAACAAUGAAAGUGAAGAAUACAAUAACAAGUGAAUAAUGCAUUAGAAACCAUUCAAAUUUUAUAUUAACAAAAAAAAAUGCCUAACUUUUUAUGUAACAAGUUUGUUUUAUAAAGUAAAACUAAACUUAAAUUUAUUUAUUUAUAAAAGUGAAAAUAUUAAUAAUAAUGAUGUAAGUAAUGAUAAGAUAUGUUGGUAGUGAUAGUAAAAAUAAUAAUAAUGAUAAAAAUAAUAAUAACAAUAAUGAUAAUAACAAAAUUUAUAAAACUGAUAGUAAUUGUGACACUAUGUUAUGUUAGCAAUUCAUUCAGAUGAUGUAUUAUAAUAAGAUGGUAAUAACAUUAAAACUAAGAGAUGGCAAAACAGAUCAUUCCAAUUCAUUUUGGUUUGGUCUGACACUUAUCCGUCAAAAGCAGGACAACAUGGGGUGACCUACUAAGGUUAUACAGACUGACAUUGAUAAUCCAUCUCAUCAUAGAGUGGUUUGGCAGGCUUAAGGGCUAGCCCACUACUUUUUAUUUUAUUUUUUUGUAUUUUUUUGGAUUUAUUUUGGAUUUAUUUACUUAGUUGUAAUAAUUAAUAUUACUUUUUGGACAAUAAAAAUGUAAGGUUGACUGGCUAGUCCGCUUCACCCGUAACCCGUUGGAUUGACAGGCUGAACCAAUAUGAAUAGACGAGUUAAUCUAUUCCACUUAAAUAAUAAUGAGUUGAGAGAUUGAUUCGUCAAGCUUGAUCUAUCUUAUCAUUUUUAAUAAAACUAGUAGUUAUAAUAACAAUGACAAAUUUUAAUAAUAAUUAUUAUUAUUGAGAAAUGGAAUUAAUAAUAUAAAUGUAAGAACGAUGAUUAUAUUAAUAUAGUAAUUAUUUUAUAACAAUAAUAAUUCAGACUACUUAUAUAAUAGGAACUCCUAUAAUAACAAUAACAUCUAUUUUAUAUAACUAUUUUCUAAUUCAACUCUCCCAACAAAAAAAACUUGAAAUAUCUUUUACCCAAAAAAAUAUAAAAGAAUAAAAGAAAUUAUAUUUUAUCAUAAUCUAAAUAAUUGAUUAAUAAAAUAUGAAAUAUGCUAUUGACGUAAUGAACGAAAUCUUCAGCAUACUAUAUAGUAUAAUAUUAUAACAUUAACGUUAGAUACGAGUCGGUAUGAAACAUCUUAAUUCAUAGUGGAAAUUUAUUUGUCAUAAAAAAUAACUAUUAAUUACUCAUUUCAAUAGUCUUCUUAAGUAUUUAAGAGGUAUAAAAUUUAGACUAAAAAUAAAAAAAAUAUUUAAUCCAAAAUUAAAUAAAGACUUCUAAUAUAAGUGAAAUGUCAUUAAGUUGUAGUUUUAAAGAACAAAUUCAAUAUUAAAAUGUGUUUUUAUAACUAAUUUGAUACUAAAUAAAAAAUUAAAGAUUAAUUUAUAUUUUUCAUACAAGUCAAAAUUGUAUUUUAAAGAUUGAAUUGACAUUAUACCACACAUUAGAGAAAUUGUUCCAUGCUUCUUAUGAUAUCUUAUGUCCUUCCAAAUCAAACAACCAACAUUCGAUUUUGAAUUAAAACACUUUAUAAAUUUUAAACUAAUUUUAAAUCAUCUAUACAUUUAAGAACAAUGUACAUUUUUAUCCUCUCUUGCAAGUUAUUCAUUUAGUGCUUCACCAUUGGCACAAAUAUUUAUAGAACAUUUCGCAUACAAAUGUUUUAAAAUAUAAUUUCCCAAUACAAAUGUUUUAAAAAGGUAUUAAAUUUAAGAAUUAUUUGUUUAAAACAAGUUGACGUGACAUAAUAAAUAUCUUAAAUUAAAAUAAAUAUUAUAUAAGAUCUUAAAAUAAAAUAAAUAAAUAUAUUCAUAUUUAUAACAUUAUUUUCUAUAUUUUAAUAAUUUUUGAAGUUACAAAAUAUUUAAUGCAAAUAAAAAAUUAUAAAACUUCAGUGCUAAUGUAAAUUUCAUAAAAAUAAAAUCACAUAAUAAAAUAAAAUAAGAUGUUAUAUGAAUUUAUAAAUUCCUUGUAAUAAAUUAAGUAUAAAUAUUUAUAUUUUACCCAGGAAAGAAAGUAUAGAAAAUAGAAAAUAAAAAACAAAAGAAGCUAAAAAAAAGAUAAAAGACUUCAGAGCGCAAAACGCAAAACCCAGAACCCUAACGCUUGACCCUAAUACCAAUCUCUCAUUUGUGGUGCUUUGCUUUCGCCUUUCCUUUCACAUCAAUGGCCGACUCUGUAGUUUCGAUCCAGUACCUCAAAGAUUUCUUCAAUUCUCAAAUCUACGACGAUGAGAAAUGGGCCUUCAAUGUGGUAAUAUCUCUAACCAUUCUUCUAUUCGUUUCGCACCCGUUUCUUUCAUUCUUUUUUUCCUUCCGUUCCUAUUUAUUUUGAAAUUUUACAGUUUUAAUCCAUGAAAUGAAACCCUUUUUGAUCUUGAGCUAUUCUGUGUGUUUUGUGCUAAGGUGCUAAGGAAGAAACCUUAUUUUUUAUUUAUUGUGAUAUGAGUGUGCCUUUAACUUGCAAAAUGAAUGGGUUUUCAUUACCCCCAUCGCCCAUUUUACUCAUCGUUGCAACAUAACAGCUCUGUGACGAACCCGUGAUUUUAUACCUUGUAGAGUCGAAUCCGUUGUCACUGUCAAUUGGUGUGAAUGCUUAUAUGGAGGUGGUUCAAUUCUUGGUUCUUGUGGGUUAUGAGACAACUGUUGAUUGCAUUUGCAUCUGUUCCAAUUACAUACCUGAAUUUUUCAAGUCGUUGUGUUGAUAAUCCUGUGGCUUUUGGAUAUUUAUUCCUGUGGUAGCUAUUACCGUUGUUUGUUAUAUUAUAUUACUUUCAAGUUUUGAAGAUGCUGGUUCUCUUCUCAUUGCCUGCACCUUAAUGACAAUGGCAUUGCCUUUACCCUUUGAUUGUUUGAGAGAGAAAAUGAAGGGAGAAAGAGCAUUUUGAAAUUUGAACUGAAGAGAAAACGAAAGAAAGAAGAAUUUGAACUUUUGUUUCUAACAGUCAACUUUUAUCCUUUUUUUCCUUUCUAUAUUUACUCUUAAACUAAACGUAAGAAAAUACAUUAUUGUCCGGUUUUCCCCCCCUUUCUAUUUCUUUUUCCUCUCACCCAAAGAGAGCAUUGGUUUCGUAGUAAUUUAGGCGCACUCUGCUGUCAAACAUUAUGAUCAGUUUUGGCAAGAAGCUCUUAAGCAUGAUGCACGAUCUGUGAUUAUUGUAGAAAAUAUAGUAUGGGCAGUUGAACCCCAUAAAUUUAUUAUCCUGGGAGUAAUGGAUAGCUACUGUAACUUUUCACCUAGACUAAGCAACCACCGAACUUUCUGAUUAAUUAGGAUACUCAUGAACUUGGUUUUAGAGGAAAUGCUGGUCGUAGAACAUGAAAAAGAUUGUUGCACUGGCUAUUAAGUGACUAGUGCCGUUUAGUUUUUACUUAAUUAUAGAGGUAUUUCUUCAUGUUUAUAUCUUGAAGCUUGAUUUAGUUUAGAACGAAUGUUGAUUCUCUUGUUUAUUUGGCAUGUAGAAAAUGCUGCGUGCUGCGGGACUUUUUGCAGGAUCAAUAGUACUCAUGCGAAAUUAUGGUGACCUUAUGGCAAUCUGAAAGUAGAACAAGUGACAAGUUCUCUGCCAUGAGUUUCUAUUAUCUACUUAAACAGUAUUGUAAUGUCUAGCUUUUUUGUUUUUGCUUUAUUUUUCAGUAAUUUGAACAUGAAGUGAGCUUCAUUGGCAUGAAGCUUUUGAUGAGCGAUGACAAUGUUUUUCCAAUUGGUUAUGUUAUAGUACAUUCACAUUUCCUUUGGCAAAAUAUGUUUUGGAUAUGAAAUAACUAUUUUGUAUGUUCUUAGAUUUAACUCUUUGGUGUAUAAAAUACUAUAGUAUAUAGUAAGAAUCAAGAAUUAUUAUAUAUAUUUGCAGCGGGCUGGAAUAGUUCGGUCAAAUCUUAUCUGUACAAGAAAAAACUCUUAUAUUUAGUAGGAAGUUGUUGUUAUGAUUGUUGCUUCUGCAAAUCAAAGCUGUUAUCUUGGCAUGAAAAUCCUUGCUACAUAGGUGAAUGAAGGUAAAAGUUUUAAAGUAGUGUUUCCAUCUUAAAUUUGUUAGUUGAAUUUGUGGAAUUGUUUUUUCUUAUAUAAAGUGCCUUUGGUAAGGUGCAUUGGCCUAAAUUAUAAGUAGUUGAUCCACACAAAAGUGGUUGAUAAGUUUUAUUUCAGGAGCUUUUAGUUUAUUUACUAUUUCUUAUAUUUUAGCAUAUCUUUCUAUUACUCUUAAUUUCUUUGAUCUAUUAUUACAUAUUUUAAUUUUGUAGAUAUAUUAAACUAUUUAGUAUUUGUUGGUUGCUUUUUAAUUUGGCAUGUAGUGUAAAUUGAAAUAAGUUUAACAUUAUAAAUUGAAGAAAGUAAUAUUUCAUUAUAUAAUGUUAUUUAAAAAUUACAUAAUGAAAAUGUUAAAGAACAAAUUUAAAAAUUUAUUUUUUGAAAACAAAUAAAAAUUAAAUUUGAUUACCAGAUCAACUCAUUUAAAUAAAAAGAUUUGUUUAAAUGAAAAAGCUUAUACAAUUAUUAAAAGAAAGAAAAAAUACUAAAAAAUAAUUAUUUAUAAAAGUUAAAAUUAAAAAUAUAUAAUAAUAUAUUUGUCUGAAGGGUAUAAUAAAGUUUAUGUAGUUAUAUUUUUUGAUCAAUUAAUUUGGUCUAAUCUUUCUAAUCAAUAGUUAAUAAGUUAGACUAUUAAAGGUUUUGCAUACGUUUUUUUUGAAACAAGUUACAAUAAAAUACAAAAGGUAUCUAUUAAAAUUAUUUAAGAAUUGUCUAUCCUUAUCCAUAUUAUCCAAUAGAAAUUAACUUUUUUUUUCACACUUAAUUAUUAAAAAUAUUGUUAGUAUGAUUUUUAAAAUGAUUUUUUCAUUUGAAAUGCUAGUGAGACUUGUGUAGUUGCGUAUUUGUAAAGCUUUGCUUUAUUCUUGGUUUAGAAGGCUAUUCAACAUCAAUCCAACAAUUUUUCUCAACCAUCUUCAAUUGCCCUCAUUGUUAGAUAAAUCUAAAACAAAAUUGAAAAAGUGUCACACUACUAAAACAAGUCUCUCUCACUUUUGUAUUUGUAUGGAAAUAAUGUUAAAAAACUAAUUAAAAAAAUCGUAGUUUGAAAGGAAUUUAUGAAAAUGGUGAAGAAGCGUCAAACCGAUUUCAAUAUGUUCUUGAAGAUUUGGAAUCCUUUUUAUACGUGUCCCUUUUAAUUUUUGUUUUGUUUUUUUGUUUUGAGUUCUCUAAUUUUUUCACUUCUUGCUCUUUUAGUCAUUGAUAUAAAUAUUUAUGAUUAUAUUUCAACGUUUAAGUUAAUUUUUAUUUAAGUAUGUUAAUUUUUAGCGUAAGUAAAAUAUGUUAGUUUAAGAUUAUGAUUACUUUUAGCUUUAAUGUAUUCUUUUAUUUAUAAUAGUUGUGUUGGGUCUUUGCCUGUACAAAUGAUUAGGUCGGAUAUAAUGAGAUCUAAUUAUCUUUUAAUCAAAAUUUUGGAUAAUUCUCAUUGCUAGAGUAUUCGGCAUUACAUUGAUAUAAACUACAUUAAGAACUUAUCAUGUUGAUACUCGAAUAAGAAUAUAAAAAAAUAUCUACAAAUUUAUUAUUUUAAGAUUUUUGACUUAAAAGUAAUAUUUUAUAUAGUUAACUCAUUAUUUACGUGUAGACAAAAUCUUUGAUUAUCAUAACAGAUAAAAAAAAAAAAAAGCAACGCUGCAAUUAUUGUCAAUAAGCUGAAAUUAAAAAACGUUGUGUGAAUUAAAAUAAAUACAUUUUGUUUAUCCUUCAUUGUAUGAUUGAUUGAAAUUUUGAACUAAAACUUACACAAAUAGUAAGAUAAUAAAAGAAUAGUCUUAAAACCCAACAAAUCACAUUUAAAAUAUACACCAAUUUUGUACUCGCUCGAUCAAGAAUUGUAGGCUUUCCUUCACUUUUAUUUCCUUUUCUUUUUCUUUUUUAUGGAUAAAAUAUGCUCUUUCCUUAUAAUAUUAUUGAAUUUUAUUUUAGUUUAUGUGAUUUUUAUUUUAUUUUCAUUCAUGUAAUUUUAAAAUUAUUAUUUCUAGUUAUUUAUAUCACUCUCUUUUUAUAAAAAUAAUGAUGUCAUGUAAGCUAAAAAAGUAGCAUAUUUACAAGAGUUAAAGAAAAAAAAAGUUAUAUAAAAUUAAAAUAAAAGAUAAAGUAUUUAUAGAAAAAAAAACACUUAUUAUCCCAUUUCAUAAAGUUUCAAGUCUUAAUCUUUGAUUUUUUUUAUAAAUAAGUUCAAAACAAUUAAUUAUUUACUUUAAUUAAAAUUAUUUUUAUUUAAAUGUUUAAACUCUCUAAACUUUUUUCCUAAGAUUAUCCAUCUUUUCUUACAAAAUAUAUAAAUAUAAAUAAUAAAUCAAUCAAAAUUUUAACCAAAACAAGUAAUUAUUUCUCUUAGUAUGGAUCAUAUCACUCUUUAUUUAUUUUUUUUAAGUUGGGGAAAAAUUAUGCAACAAGCUAUCCAAAUCACUCGAGGAUGAGAAAAAUACGAUGAUAAUAUGAAAAAUAGAGAAGUUGAUUAUAUAAGUUCAAAUUUUGAAAGUUCUAUCAGCUUCUUACAAAUAUUGAAGUUGCUUUUAUUGCAAGGCGAGCUACUCCAGAUAGAGAAAACUAAUUAUUCAUAUUAUUUAUUUUCUUAAAAUUUAAAUGUUUAAGAAAUAUGUUGAAUGCUCGGAUUUUAGGUUUACAAUUCUUUAAGUUUGAAAUAGUAGAUAUAUUUGUGAUAUAAUUUACAUAUAUGCAUACAUGUUUACUUUUGGAAUGAGGUAUGAUUUUGGAUUAUAAAAUUAUGUGGGGACAAUUAGAUUUGAGUAAUUAGAGAAUUGCUUCUGGUGUGAUGAACAACUAUUUUUUCUAUAUUACUCGCUUGAGCAUUAAGUUAUUAUUUGAGCAAUGCUUAAGUGGUGGUAAUCAUUACUAACAUCAAUCACUAUUGAUCAAGUACUACUAUGAUCAUUUAAGUAACAAUGUCUCUCGCUCAAAUGUUAUCAUGAUCGUUUAAUCUAUAUUGUUCCUUGUUCAAGCUAUAAUUUUAUAUUUAACCAAGAAAAAUGUCAAAAUAAUGAUCAUUUAUUUAGAGCUCUCAUUGCUCAAAAUAUGAAAAGUUAGAGUUUCAAGGAUGUUUUGGUACAUGGUGACAAUAAGUCACGUGUGACUGUUGAACUUUGAGAGAGUCAAUCUUGACUCUCUCUCUCUCUCUAGGAGUUUUGGUCAGUCAAAUGAUGACUUCAUGCUUAAGUGAGAGAAACAUUAUAUCGAUAAUCUCUCUUAUAUCCUAGUAUUGCACAAGUGACAUAAGUUUAUUUAAGUUAUAUAAAUGUUGCUCAAAUUAUGAAUAGACAAUUUAGUGAUAAGUUUUCACAUAUAUAAUGAAUAUAUGCCACUUAAGAAAAGUAAUUUUAUUGAAGAGACAUAUCUCUAAUUUUUUUUUUUAUGUACAAAGAAAGUAUAUAAAUGAUACCAUGUAAAAUUAAUCACAUAUCAUAUUCAAAGAUUACCAAAAAAAAAAAUUAUAUAAAAAAAUAUUUCAAAUAUUAUUAUUCACUCAUAUAUCAUAACAUUAGUUAUAAGUUAUACAUAGGAUUCAAUUAUAAAUUACUUACUCAGGUAUAAUAAGGGAUUUAUUUUAACUAAAGUAGACAUACAAAUAAUACUAAUUAAAUAUAAGAAUAAUAUCAUAUUAAAUUUAUUUUAUUUUAUUUAAGUUGUGUUGAAACCUACCAACAAAGUUUUUGUGAAAAAAAUAAAUGAAUGACAUGUGCAUUUACCAAAACUUUGAAAAGAAAAUGGUACUCUCUAAUAGUGGUCUUGUUCAACACCACGUUUAUCAUUUCAUCCCCACGCAGGAAAGUUGGAAUAAUUCUUUCCCACCUCUCACCUUUUUUCUAACCACAAUCUUAUCAUUACGAGAUAAACAACAUAAUAUUGUUUUUAACGGCUAGUGCAUUUUUUUUUUAAAUUACGAAGUUCAACUUAGGAAUAGAAAAAAGGUAAUUGUAUAAUUAAAAAAGUGCUAAACGCACUUUGUUUUAAAAAAUAUAAUCAUUAAUUAAAACCAAGACUUAUAGUAGAAUUUGACUGUCCAAUUUAUAAAUAAUAAUCAAGUUUAUUUGUGUGAAUAAAAUUUGAAGAGUGCAUUUAUGUGUAAAUUUUAAAAAAUAGGUUUAUUAAGAAAAAAUAUCGUAAAUAUACGUUUAUAUUAAUUUGAAAAAUGAAACAUAAUUAAAAACGUGGGUCUAAACUUAAAUUUUGCAUUGACUCUUGAUUAUUCUUAACAAGAAACAAGUUGGGAUUUUUCCACACUCACAAGUUCGUGCUUCUUAAUUUAACUUGACCUUCAUACCCCUACCAUGUUUUGAAAAUUACAUGGGAACCCCGUACGAGGCUGAAGUACAAGUGUCGUAUUGUAAGCAAUGACAGUGACAGUGACAGAGGAUUUGGAUUCAGAAGCAGCUUGUGUGACAAGAUACGUGAACCUUUAUCUCCAUUGAUUAACACGUGGAAAAUUUGAAAAGCAUUCUCACCCUUUGAGCAGCUUAAAAACAUUGCAUGAACUCACACACUUUUCACUUCUCACCUCAGGUCCACACUUCUUUAUGCCAAACCAAACUGUGUAAGCUUUCCUUAGCUGGCUUCCUUGUUUUUGUUCAAUCUUCCUCAAAUUAGCAUCUACCCAAGUGAACAUAAUUUUGUGUUUUUAAGUUACAUUUUCAAAUUCAGCUACCUCUUACUUUAACUUUUAUGAUCAUAUUAAAGUUUACAUCAGUGAUUGUUACUGUAUUAUUAGUAAUUGUUGCUGUAUUUAUUGAAUCAGUUAUCACAGUUUCAUAUUGAAUUGUUGGAUAAAUUAGUUGGGACUGAAUAGACACUAUGUUUAGUGAUUAAAUUUAAUGAUUGUGUUUUUUAUAAUUUUUAUUUAAAAAUAUAUUGUAUUUGUUAUUGAUGUAUAGAGAAUAAAAAUAAAAACUUAAUAGUUAUCAAUAGACCUAAAUUACAAUUGGCGACGAAAGACGAUAAAUUAUGGGUUAUUUAUUAAGUGUAGUUGAUUCCACAUGCGUUUUUUACAAUAAUGAAUCUCACAUUUAAUGGUAUAAAUCAAACAGUGUGUGUUGUUUCCUUUUGCUGUGUCUACGUCACUUGGUGAGUACACUGCUGACAUUGUGUAAUCCGUGAGCCACCCUCAUCCUCGUGUUUUUAACUCUUUUGUUCCCACAGUACCCACUUGUUUUUGUGAAUGUGACAUUCAGUCCCUAAAAUUAAAUUCAGAGCUUGCGUUUAGAUUUUGACUUUCCUGUUUAUAUUUCAUUUGCAUUAUUAUCUUUUGUGUCACAUGUAGUAUAUAAUCCUGGCGACACUUUUCCCAGUGUGGAGGAAGUGGAUACCCUUUCAUUCCUCCAAAUUUUAUGGCUUAAACUUGUUUCCUUUUUCAUUCAGAGGGAACAAGUCUUCUUCAAAGGAGUUGUUCUGUUCUAUGACUCCACCUUUUUCUUGGAUUUCAAUGGAGGUGACAAUAAACCAGAAAAAAAAAUAUAUAAAGCUGAUUAAAUUGAUUUAUUCAUUCACACUAGAAAGUCACUGUGUUUUUUUAUUUAGCAGGGAUUUUAUUCUGAGAAAUCAUACACUAACUCUGAGCAGAUAGACCUUACUCUCAAGCUUUCUCCCUGCGGUCAAAGUGUAGAAGAAAAGAUGGUUCUAACAAGUUCACCAUCAACAAUAAUUGGGGAGAAAGCCCAGAUCAGAAUAAUGGAAAAUGGGGUUCAAGAGAAUCCCUUUGUUCUGUGUCUAGCAGAGGGUGAGAAGGGUCUGGUGAGGUUUGGGGACUUGCAGACAAUGAGAAGAGUGAGGACUGGAAAGAGAUUAUUGAUGAAGAAGAUGCAGAUGGCUGCGGCUGCAGAGGCAGAGAAGUCUUCUCCGGUGUCUCUUGCUGGUGCUCAGCCACUACCUCCCUCAAUUGAUGAUAAUUUCAAGAUGUUUGCACAUCCUUCUUGGGAUCUAUGGCAUGAAGGUAACCUUUUUUUUCUCUUUGGUUUGUUGACCAUGUCAUGAGCAUGCACUUUUUUAACAUAAUUCAUGUAUUUUGUGAGUGUUAUUUAACACUGAGAUAUAGUUGAAAAAAAAAACUACCAUGAUUACUUAUUUACAAUCUGAUAGACCUCCUAUUACACAGUUUUAUGAGUACAGAUAGGAAUAAAGGAGGUGGUGUAUCCCACGUGGGUGAGAAGGAUAAUAAGUAGGGGAAUUAUGAGGAACAAAACAUGCUGUGACAGGAAAACAACAGAAUUGAUGAUGUGAAAUUAUUGUAUUUUCUGACUAAUAUGUGUCCAUAGUUCCAUCAAUCUUCACUGUACAAUAGAUCUCAUUCUUGUAAAUUUGAAAAAUAUGAUCAAUCUUCACUAAUAGACCAUACAAUAAUUUCUGGUACUCGAGAUAGUGUGAUAAUUGAGACUAGAGGAAGCAUUUGACUUUGAACUGGAACUGAGUAAUGUUCUUCUGCAUGACAAAUCAAGUCCAUUAAUUUUUCCAUUAUAUGGAAGCAAAAUAUUAUGAUACUGAAAUUAACACUCAUUUCCAUAAGCUAAAUUAUUUUUAUCUAGAUCAGCAAUAUGACUAACAUUUCCAAAUUCCACAAAUUUUCCGUCCUAAAUCUGUCUCUGUGAUAUUCCCAUUUAGCUUAAAAUAUUCAUAGUUUUGGAAUCAGGGGUGGUUGUUCUGCACAUGACUUCCCAAAGUGUUAUCCACAGGUAAUUUUUCCACCAAAACGGAAAUGUUUUUAUAAACUUUCAUAAUGAAACAAGAAUUUCUCAUGUUCACAACUGUUUUAUGCAUAGAAAACCAGUUUAUGGGAAACAUUUUGUUAAAGCUUUUUUCUCUAGACAACAUAACAAGUGAAAAACUAGUGACUUGAUAAACUAUAUAUGCAUAAAUUACUUGUAUUUGGAAUUUUACCAGAAGUUUCUCACAGAACAUUAUAAUAACUUGUCUUUAUUACUUAUAAACACUUUUUUGUCUUCUUAUCUGAAGGAGGAGUUAGUUCCAAUUUCCAAACAUCACCAAAGCUGGAAAAUGAUCCAAUGCUUUCUCCAAAAGCAAUGCAGGAAAUGAUACUGUGGCCAUCUGAGAUUAUGAUUGAGAAGCCAGCCAAAAAGCAUAAACAUGUGAUCUCCUAUGAUGAUAGUGAGGCAAUGGACAUUGUGAGAAAAAUGCCUUGCAUGAUUACUACUGGAGAUGACACAACUGGGAAGAGAAUAGAAGGGCUUCUGUACAAGUAUAAGAGAGGCCAAGUUUGUAUUUAUGCCUCUGCCAUGGCAGCUUUGUCUCCCCCACAGAAUUUGUGAUGCAUGCUGGUGGCAAGGAAGUGGCAGAUCCCAUGAAACACAUUACUGGUUGUUCUGAUUCAUUGUAUAUCAAUGGAGAUGAUCCCUUUUAGAAUGUGUAGAAGCAGCUAACACCCCUUUUAAAAUGUGUAGAAGAAGUUAAGAAUCCUUAGUUUUCUAUAAUUAUCUUAUCCAUGGUUCUUAGUAUGACUGUGUAAGGGGAAGUUUUCAUCAAAGACAAAGAUGGUUUUCCCCAUUUGCUAACCUUCACAUUGGUGUUGAAAACAAAUGAAAAAAAAAAUAUGGAGCCGAACUUGUAUAAUUAAGAAUACAAAAUACUUUCUCAAGAAAAAAAUAUUUUUUUUAUUAUAUUCUUUAUUUCAUUUAUUAAAAAUUACUAAAACAUAUGUAUGUUGUUUGGAAUAAAGAAGUUGUUUUAAAGUUGCUGAUAGUUUUAAAACAUGAAAAUCUUGAAUUUAUUUAUUUAUAAAGAUCCUUUAUUAGAUUAUUUUUUUUAUAAUUGUCACAUGGAGGAUUUUAAUUUAAAUUUUUAAAUUCAUCAAUAAUAUAUAUUUUUAAUGUAGAUUAAAAAUAUCAUUAACAAUUCAUCACUAAUAGCAUAGAAAAGAUAAAAUAAAAAGGAAUGAUUAUUUUUCUCUUAUUAAUUUAUAAAGAACCAAGAAAAAUAUUUAUAUACAAAGCAUUGAAUUAUUCACAUGGUUGAAAUUUUAAUUCAUAUUAUUAAUUAUAUAUUUUAUGAGAGUACGUGAGAUUAGCAUUGGUUAAUAUUACUUUUAUGUAAAUGUUUAGUUUGGAAAAAAAAUGUUUUGAAUGCUUGAGGAAGAUGAGGUUUAGUGUUUAAGUCUACAACUUGAUUGGAAGUGGAAAAUAGGGAUAAAGUGAAUGAGACUAUCUUGAAUGUGAUUAAAUCACAAUCAAUUUUAAUAUACUUUGUAUGUUUCUUAAAUAAAUAAUUUUAUUAUUGAAAUUCUCUUGUGAGUGAGGUUAAUGUUUUAUAUUCAGAUUUAUAAAAGGAUUUAGAGAGUAUUUUUCUUCUUGUACUUCCAAGAAACCAAAACAUCCCCAAAUGAAAUACAAAAUCAUGUGCUAGAAAGUAUACUAUCAAGACAAUAGACUUAAUCAGAAUUUGAAAAAACUUGGAUGUUAACAUUACUUUAUGAAGGAAAAAUAGGUCUAUAUGGAGAUACCUUUAAAUAUUUGAGAACAUGAUGUGCAAUUUGUAUAUAAGGUUGGAUUGACUAAAGUGUUGGACAACAAAACAAAUUUUUAGAUGAGUAUUAAUUAAAUAAAGAAAAUUUCUCAAUAAUUUCCCUUCGUCAAUUUUCAACAAGCAAUAUGGAUCCAUAGAAGAUGAUCUGACUUGAAAACUUGAAAGCUAACAUGUCACCGUCAAACAGUAGGUCAAGACAAUACAUUCUUUUGUUAAGUAUCAUACCAUUACUAGAAGGAUAAAACUUCAAUCUUAACAAAAAACAAAGAGGAUCAAGGUCCUUGAUUUUAGAACUAGUAUGAAGAUUAUUCUUGAUAGCAUUCAAUUCUACUACAUUAUUUUCGAUGAGAAUCAUAUUAUCAAUGUUCACAAAGAAUGACAAGCAAAGAGGAACUUGGACUCUUUACAAACAAGGAGUAAUCAAAAGUAAUUUGGACAAAAGCAAAAAAUAUAAGACUGGAAGUAAGUUUAAAAUUCUAUUUUCUACUAACAUGUUUCAAACCAUAAAGAGACUUUCACAAUUUGCAAACUUUUUGUGAAUGAUUAAGAUGUAAACCUAGUUGUUGAAUUAUAUACACCUCUUCUUACAAAUUACCAUAAAGAAAGGUAUUAUUGACAUCAAAUUGCUCUAAAAAUCAACCCCUCUAUUGUUGAAACUAACAAAACAAACUGAACAAUAUUAAAUUUUGUUAGAAGAGGAGAUUUCAAAAUAAUUUAAACAUAUGUUUGUAUAUACCCCUUAAUGACCAAGUGUGUUUUAAAUCUUUCAAUUGUACCACCAGACUUAUGCUUGAUCUUGUAAACUCAUCUACAUCUAAUAGGAUGCUUUAUUAGAGGAAGAUUCACUAGGGACCAAGUUUGUUUUUUCUCAAGAACAAGUAACUUCGUACUUGUGACUUCUUUCCAAUAAUCAUAUUUAGAUGUCUAACUAAAAAAGGUGAACUCAUUUUGAGAAAAAUAUUAAAACAAAAACUUCAACACUCAGUAUGUUAUUGAAAAUAAUUAAUAUAAGAAUUAAUUUUGAAUAAAAUAUUUAAUACCUGAAUUUGCAUGAUUAGUGACAUUAUCAUAUGAGGUGGUGGUGACAUGCUUAGAAGUAUGCUAAGAUGUUGUUGAGAGGAAUCUAUUUGUAAUUGUUGAGGAGAGCUACAAGUUGUUUAUAUUGUUGGUGAGUUAAUUCUUCCUUAGUAUGUGUUAUCUUCUUUCCCAAAAAUUGUACAUCUUCUUGGAAUUUAUUUAAAUGUAGAAUAGAUUAGAAAAAAAAAACACUAUAUACAUUAAUGAAAUCAUUCAAAUGCUCAAUUUGAGUGACUAGUAUCACAUAGUAUCACACAUCACAAUAAUAAUUAAAGAAACAUGUAUAAGCUAGAGCUUUAUUUACCAUAUAUUAUUAACCAUUCAUCACCUAUAGAAAAUUUAAAAUAAUGAAAAAGAAAAGAUAGAAGAAAAAUAAAUAAUAGAAUGUAUUUACAUUUUAGUAAUUAAAUGUUAAAAAAACAAAAAACAUAAUUUUAACUGUUGAGAUUUUUGUGAUUAAAAGAUAUUAAAAAAUAAAUGUUAAUUCUUAUAAGUCUGAAAUAUUUUAAAUAGAGAUCGUGAUAUAAAUUGAAUUUAUUUUAAAAGAAUUUAUUUCUUCAACGGGAGAUAAACUAUUUUAUUUCCAAGUACUGUAUUUAUAAUGUUUAAAUGUUAUAAACAGACACAAUUCUUUUUUGCCCCGGUGUCCUCUAGACUUAACAAUUCUUUCUAUACUUAGUUAUAAUAUAUUAAACUAUAUUGCAAAAUAUAUAUAUAUAUAUAUAUAUAAUUUAUUCAAACAGUUAUUAUAAAACUAACAGUGCUAACUUAUCUAAGUAAAUAAAUAAUAUAUAAUAUAUAAUAUCAUUGUAUAUAUAUUAUUAUUAACAAUAACAAAGCACAAUUGCUAGAGAGAGAGAAAGUCCGAAAAUUUUGACAUAACAUAACUUUAAAAUUUAAUUGAAAUCUAUAAAAAUUGUUAUAAGUGUGCAUAUAAUAAUACUUAAGAAUUUGCAUACUAAAGAUGCUCAUUCCCCCACAUGAUAGCAACUUCUUAAUUAACGAACAUACAAUGCUUGUCCAAUAUCAAAUCUUUAAGUAAAUGUCAAGAAUCUUUAGGACUUGACAUAAAAAAAAUGGUAAAACAAAAAAAAUAAACUAUUGAAGUUCCAAUAUUAAUAUAAAGUACAAUAUAAGAACUUGAAUAUGACCACCCAACAUGAGAAAGGGUUGGAAUAAGAAUAACUAAAUGUUUAUGUCAAAGUAGCAUGUAAAAUUUAAUGUUUUUUUUAUUAAUAAAGAAUAAAUAGAAUUAAAAGCAGGUCUUACGAAUUUAAUGUUGAUGUUGAAGCUACUUGAAAGCAGGUGUCACGAAUUUAUUAUAAAAAAAUGAACUUGCAAUUAGAGAAGACAUUUGUAACAAUGUUAGAUUAAUGUCUCCCAAUAAAUAAAAUUAAGGUUAGAUUAACAGGUUUCUUAAGGUAGUUAUAGAAGAUUAUAAUGUGUAAGAGAGAAAAAGUUGAUAAUUAUUUGCAUGAGUGUAAGAUAUGUUUUGUUAAGAUAUCUUUCACUAACAAUUAAGUAGGAACUCUCAUCAAAAGUAUCUACAACAACGGUAAGUAUUUUCAAAAUAGUAAAGAAUCAUAUAACCUCUUAUUCAAACAUUUAUAGUAAAGAACUCUUAUUAUUUGUCUUUGCGUUCUCCUUCUUCCUUCUUUUCUUGCAUCAUGUUAUGUCUCAGUGGUGAUUGUACUUCGAUUGCAUCAUCUCUUAGGUGAGAUCUGUCACUCUUUUACUAAAGUGUUUGUUGUCAUGCCACUAAGGUGUAUUUUAUUUAUUUAUUUUGUUUUCAUUGUUGUCAUGCCACUAAGGUAUGCUAUUUGUCUUUGAUUUUGUUUUCAUUUCAUAUACAAUAAAAAAAAAUGGAUGUAAUAAAAUAUUAUUUUCAUAUUAUAUGUAAUUGUUUCGUGAAUAAGUGAAUGCAAGUUGGAUAUAUUUUUUUUUAGUGAAAACUAAGGGAAUAGUUUUUAAGGAAAUUACAUUUGAAAUAUGAAGAAAAGUGUGUAAAGUUUGUUUACAUUAUAAUAUAAUUGCUAAUUUAUUAUGCCUAUAAAUGUAUUUAUGUUUUGUUGUGUACUGUUUUGUUUAUAUGUCCAUUUUAAUGUAAAUAAUAAUACCAAUAAAGAAUAAAUAUAAUAAUUAAAAUAAUAGUUUAAGUUUUAAUGGCAUGAAAUUAGAGUAUUGAAGUUUUUUUUUCUUGCUCAUAAUGAGAGUUGUAAUUAGUUGUAUGUUAUAUUCUCAAUCUGAAGUAUUAUUAUCUUUAAACUUUAUAUCUUCUCUGGCUUAUCUCAAAUACAAAUAGUAUAUAUUUUUUAUUAUUGAUUAUGAUUUCUCUAUAGUUUUAUUAAAUAUUUCUGUUAAUAAUUAAUAAAUUUUAUUCCUCACUUUAUAUAAGUUACAUUCUCUAGGAGAUCAUACCAACUACCUACCGAUACCAAUACAAAUAAUAAAUUUUAAUAUUAAUAAAUAAUAAUACCAAUUUUUAAAAUUAAACAAUUUUAAGGUUUAAAUUUUUAUUUUAUUUAUCUUUUACCUCUUUUACAUUAAAUAAUCUCUAUUUUUAUUCUAUUUUCCCUAUUUAAUCAUCUAUAAUUUUAUUCAUUUGUUUUAUUUUUUAAUAAGAUAGAUUUAUUUCCUAUUAUAUUUUUUAAUUAGUUUUAUUCCUUUUUUAUUAUAUUUUUAAACCCUAAACAAAAUUACUCAUGUAUUUCUUCUUAUCCAAAUCUAAUGGCUUGUUGUACUCACUAACUAUAUGAAUAGAGGUUGGACCUAUGAGGUUCGGACACUUCUCUUAAAUGAUACAGACACACGUAUCGGACAUCGACACUCGUAGAUGAAAUGUCUAAUUCCAAAAAUAUUUGUUGGAUUUCUUACAAUUUUAGCACAUGAAUUUCUGACAAUUCUAGCACAAUUUUAAAAAUGAGAAAUGCAUUAAUUUUCUAAAAACUCAAACUUAUUGUAUAAAUUUGUAUUAUGAUUAUAAAAAUAAGGAACAAAAUCCUUUUGAACCAACCAUAAAAACAUCUUUCUGCAUAAAAAAAACUAAAAUAUACUUAUGCAUAUAAAUCUUUAUUGUCAAUUUAUAUAAUUGAUUAUAUAAUAUAUAAAUUAGUGUUUCCGUAUCUACAUUUUAAAAAAUUAUAUCCAUCUUCAUUUUCAUUUUCAUGUUAUAUGAGUGUUCGUGCUACAUACAUAUAGGGUUGAUCACUUUAUUGUUUAUUAAGUUAUGAACGUGAUCAAUGGGUGUUUUAGUUUUUUUUUUCUUUGCUCGUGUAACCAACAAAAUAAUUGCAGGAUAAAAUUCACUUUUAGUGCUUCGAUUAUAAUAAUAACUUAAUUUUGAAAACAUUCACUUUUAUUUCUGAAAAGUUCUAUCUUAAAUUAAAGUACCUUUUUAUAAUAUUUUUACACUAACAAUAUUAAUUUUUUAUUUACAUGAUGAUGAAUAGUUAAAUAUCACAACUUGAAAAAAUACUAAGAGAUAGAAAAAAAUUGUAAACUUAGCAGCACCCAACUAAAAUAAAAUAAAAAAUUAAGAUACUUUUUAGUCAAUAAAUCAUUUUAAAAGGAAAAUAUUGAGUUUAUGUGAGUGGAGGGUGGUGGUUAUAAUAUCAAUAUCAUUUUAUAAAAAAAAAAUACAUAAGAAGAGGGGAAAAUUAUAGUUAGGAUAACAUAAAAAUUAUGUUACUGAAGGAUGUUACAGAUUUGGUGUAUGCAUUUAGGUUGUCAUGUUUGGAAGGAAUCUGAAAAAGCGGAGAAUAUUCGGGGAGUCAAGAUGAGAGAUUGUUCUCACUGAUACUAUUAUUUAACAGUUCAAACCAUAUUGGGCUUCAAAAUGAUGCAGUGAGGAACACACCAUAUCCACACUCAUCUCCAUGGCGUCCUUAUCCAGUAAGGCUUUUUCACUAUUCAGGAUCCCUUCACCUUUAUUUUUUCGAAUUCUCUUCCUUUUUUUAUUUUGUUUUUAUCCCUUUAUUUGUUCCUGUUGAUCUGAGCGAGAUGGAAAUCUGGGUGCAUGUGAUCUGUAACAGUUGUUGUUCUUGAUUAAUCCACUACCCUUUCGCAUUUACUUUCUGAAUGGUUUUUGUGCCUUGGUAGAUUUGAGGUCAUUGAAUAUCGUGCCACAGUUAUAUCACUCGUUUGAGUCAACGUUCAAAUUCACCAUAAUAUCCAUACCAUUGUGUUCGUUUUAUUUUCUUCACUUGAGAUAUGUGUGCGUUUCAUGUAUGCGUGAGUGUGAUAAUGGUUUUUUCCCCCCACAGUGUUUCCGUCAAAAUAUCUCUUAGCUUAGUGUAAUGAAUCUGAACUUAAAACAGGUUUUGCUCCUCUUGUGUUUCUUCUGCUUGUUAUUGGGUGCACUGCAAGGCCUUUUUAUCCUCUUCCCAGCAAAGGUGAUGGGGGAAGUAGGAAGCCCCUACAGACUCUUCGCCCAUACAACAUUGCACAUCGCGGUUCAAAUGGAGAGAUUCCUGAAGCAACUCAUCCUGCAUAUACGGUGAAGUCUAUUUUUGUGCAAAAUUACUUUCCUUUUUUUCGUUAUUCUGUUUCUGAUUUGGAAAUUGACUAUAAUUAUUGUUUCAGUAAAUUCAAUUAUGCACAAAUAUGAUUAGGUAAACUGUAUAUGAUAUAGUAAAACAUAAAUUCUAUCUUUGGCUUAUGGUUACCCAAAAACGAAUGUUUCUUGCAGAGAGCUAUUGAAGAAGGGGCAGACUUCAUUGAAACUGAUAUCUUAUCAUCCAAAGAUGGUGUUCUUAUAUGUUUUCAUGAUGCUACCCUUGAUAAUACUACUGACAUUGCAAAUUACGCAGAGUUUGCUAAUCGUAAAAGAACGUAUGAAGUCCAAGGGGAAAACAUCACUGGGUUCUUUACUGGUAGAGUAGCUAAACUUGCUAUCCUUAGUUCAGCUUCGUUGCAAAUUUCCUUAAUAAAUAAUUAUGGGGUUAAUAUGAUUGCUACUGUCUGUGACAUAAAUGCAUAAGCUUGAAAUUGCUCUCUGUUUUCAUUGUUUUUAGUAGUGUAUCCUAGAAGGUUUGCAUAUGUUUCAAGUUUUCUAGUUUUGUUGAAAAUCCUAUUUGCCAUCUAAAGCAUUUUUCUUCAUGCUGUAAUAAUCUAAUUUUCCAAAAUAAGUUUACUUUUAUGUAUAUUUGCAGUUGAUUUCACAUUAAAGGAGUUAAAGUCAUUGAGGGUGAGACAGAGGUAUACAUACAGGGAUCAACAGUUUAAUGGUUAGUCCCUCCUUCCACAGAGUAGUCUCUCUCAUUUUUUUCCUCUUCAAUGCCUUGCUGUUUUCAUUUUUGGGAAAGCUUACUGCUGAUGACCUUUUUUUUCUUGUGAUUACUACAUGAAACUAAUAUCGCUUUUGCACACAUAAAAAGAGGCCGUUAAUCUAUAACUACUGAGAAUCUAUUUCAGGAAAGUUUCAAAUCAUCACUUUUGAAGAGUUCAUUACCAUAGCACUGCAGGCACCCAGAGUUGUUGGAAUAUAUCCAGAGAUAAAAUAUCCAGUAUAUAUCAAUCAACAUGUGAGUAUUUCUUUUUAGAAUACAACAAAUGCCUAAAUGAAAGGCAGAGCUAUUGAUAUAUAAUUCAUCUAACUGAAGAAUAUAAUAGAAUCCACCAAUUUUCAAAUUAAAGCUAAUAAUGAGUAUUACUGGAGGUGAGAUUAUAUUGUUGGGAGUUUCUAAAUGCAAAUUGCAUUAGGAAUUCUUAUGCCUGUUAGAAUGUUUUACAAUGUCAUGCUUGCUAAUUUCGUAAUAAUAAUAUUAUGUUUUAGCCAAGUUCUUUAGAGGUUUUGUCUUCUUUCCGUUCAUUAAGUUGACUUGAUACAAUCAACAGGUUAAAUGGUCAGAUGGAAAAAUAUUUGAGGACAAGUUUGUGGACACACUUCAGAAGUAUGGGUUCAAGGGUUCCUACCUGUCAAAAAAUUGGCUGAGACAACCUAUAUUCAUUCAGUCAUUUGCUCCAACUUCACUUGUGUAUAUAGCAAAUAAAACGGACUUGCCCAAAAUUCUGUUAAUCGACGAUAUUGAUAUUCCAACGCAAGACACCAAUCAGGUGUGUAAUGCAUAUUACCUCAUAUGUGCAACCUGCUGUAGGAUUAUUCUGUUCUGUCUACAACUUUUCAGAACAAAAUGUUUUGUUAAUGGAGUUUGUUAUACUUGUAAAGUUCAUAAUUUAUAUCAUAGUGAUACAUCUUCAGACCUUAGCAGCAUUUGUUAAUUUCUGCCUUAGCAUCAUAGUGAUACUUGCUUUGUCUCCAUUUUAUGUUACAGUGUUGUUUUGAUUGUCUAUUCCAAAGUCUAACAAAAUAGUACUGUGAUGAUUAUGUGCAGUCAUACUGGGAGAUUACAUCUGAUGAAUACCUAAACUACAUAAAGCAAUAUGUUGUAGGAAUUGGACCUUGGAAAGACACGUUGGUACCUGUAGCAAAAAAUUAUAUGCGAACUCCUACUGAUCUUGUUUCCAGGGCACAUGCUCAUAAUCUGCAGGUACAGAUCUUUAAAGCUUAUUUUUUCUCGUAAGAUUUAUGGAUUUGAUACUUUUCAUUUUCUUGCAUUAUCUGUUUUGACAUAUCUCCUCUUUAAUUUGUAAUCUUUGUAUUGUCUUCCAUGAAUGAAUGGUUUGGAGCCAAACACAUGACAAUAUGAAUUGCUAAUAUCCUUACAGGUGCAUCCAUAUACUUACCGAAAUGAGAAUUCUUUUUUGCACUUCAACUUUAGUCAAGAUCCGUAUAUGGAGUAUGAUUACUGGAUCAACAAGAUAGGCAUUGAUGGUCUGUUUACGGACUUCACUGGUAGUCUUCAUCAUUUUCAGGAAUGGACCUCUAAACAUCAAGAUGAUGAUAGUGACAACGAUGAUAACACUGCAUCCAAACUGUUGCAUAAAAUUGCAAUGUUGCUCGCCUCUUAUAAAUGAUCUCAAGAAUUCAAAUAUUGUAUUAUGUGUUUGGAUUAAUUUAUUGUGUUCAAAAAAUCUUAUAAUAAUAUUUACAAGUGAGCUUUUGACUAAAAAGUUAUCUGACAAUUAAGCAAAAUCAAACAUCACUAAUCACAAUAUAAAUCUCCAUAUAAAGUUUUGGAAUUUGUCUAAUAAGAUAAUUAGUGUUUAACAUACUUUUAAUUCAAUUUUUAUAGUUGGUUAAAAUUUAUUAGAUAUAUAAAAGGAUUUUUUAAAAUAAAAAGUAAAACUCGUAACAUUACAUGAUUUUUAAUAAAAUUCAACGAAUAAAUACUAGGAUGUUUAUGUUUUAAAGUGCGUGUAGAUAUUCUUUCAAAUGCCAAAUAGCUUCCAUUAAUUGUAAAAAAUAGGUUCAUAUUUAUUCAAUUACUUAGAUGAGAUGAUGGUAAGAAAACAAGAAACUUGAUCUAAAAGUUCUUUAAACACUCGACUCCCUAUUACUUUUAAGUUGCUAUUUUGAAAUUUUCCGAUAUUUGUAUGCCCACAGAAUUCCAGUUGGGAAUAAAGAUGCUUAAUAGUACAAAAAAUGUAUCUUGAUAUUAUUGUCUAUUCCCAUUAGUUUAAUGAUUAUCUUGAUAUUAUUCAGAAAACAAUAUUGUGAGGCGAUGCUACAAUCUAACCUAGAAAGGAAAUAAAGAGAUAUAAUAGUAAAAUUAGUAUUUUCAUAAGAUGUAGGGAUAGAAUAGUCAUACAACACAACACAUAAGGGUUCGGGGGAAGGAUUGCACUAAUAAGCCUCUCUAUGCUUGUAAAAAAGAAGAUAUUAUAUCUAUUUAGUUGCAACAAAAUUUUUGAGCCAUUUAGGUGAUUGGAUCUUGGGUCUGUUGGGUUCAGUAACAAUAUCCUCUAUAACUUUAUCCUCAAAGUUGGGAAGAGUAUGGGUUGGCAUGGUUGAGAGGAUACAGGAUAAGGGAGUAAUGGGAUAGGCCAGAGAUGGCGUAUUUGAUAUUUAAGAGAUGGCCAGAGAAAACACAUUCAUAAAACAAUAUAUAUAAAACCAAUCAAAUCAAGCUUACUUCUUAAUAAACAAAUCUCAAAGUUAUAAUAAAUCUUCUUCGCAAACCAGUCCUUAACUUCAAAUAUUUAGUUUCACUUAACUUAAUACUCUUUCCAGAAACAAAGUUAUAUUUUAUAUCAAUUCAUUUAUAUUUUAGAAUAAGUAUGAUGGACAAUUAAAUCAAAAGAUUAUGACUAAAUAAACCAUUGGUUUCUAAUCAUAAUCUAGAACCUUAUCUAUUUUAAAAUUAUAAUCAAAGAUUAAGCCCUAAAAUACAAGUUUUUAAAGAGUAAGAUUAGUAAAAUAUACUGUAUUAUGACACUGAAUGAAAAAUCUAAUCAAAACAUAGAGUGCAAACUUUUCUACCUAAUUGGGGAAGAAUAUUUGAGGAAUCACUAAUGUCAUGAUGGAAAAUUAUGAACAUGUGGAUGACAAAAAUUUAGCGCAUAUUUCCAGAAGUCUGAAAAUGUUUGAUAAACCACAUAGGGUAUUAAUAAUUACAACCAGUAAUAUCACUCAAAAAGACUUAAAAAGAUAUAGAAACUAUAAAUCUGCAUAUCCAUCUCUUAUGUUCUCAUCUUUGAUAUUUCUUCCAGCAUAAUCCUUGACUCUGCGGCGAAGUCAACAGGAACAACUGCCCGAGCUGUAAUCCUUUGCCGCUUUUCGUUAUUAUACUCGUUCUGGCUAACACUCACGCGGAAAAGAUGUGGAACCCAAGUUGCUUGCUUCAAUUUCAGAUUAUAAGGAUUAUCUUCUCCUUCCUGACAAUAACAUGACAUGUAACGUUAAAUAAAGCAUUCUAUCAUCCUGUUUCAACAAUUAACGAGUUACUGAUCUUACUUGUGAUUUAAGGUCAUCUAAGUCAUCAGCAGAGCAUCCAACAAUCUUCUCAGCUUCAUCAUUAAAAACCGAGAUGAAAGCCUCACCACUUGUAUCGCAAACUCUAGCAACCAUAAUAUACCUGAAAGGGCAAUGAAAACGUUAAAUGCAUGUAUCAGAUAGAAAACAUAACACUAAAGGUGAUCAAUGUAAUACCUUAAACUGCACUGUUCAUCGCUUUUCUGGCAUCCUUCGCACCAAUAUCCAGAACCAAUGCUUUCAGUAACUUUCUUAUUGCAUGUCUUACAGGCACGAUACCACAUUGCCUGGUCAGGCUUUAUGAAGCUUAUAUAUCCUUUAAGGCUGAAAAAUGCAGGCUGCUCAAAGCAACAUGAGAGACCACAAGUCAGGUUAGUGAAUCACAUAACAAUCCUUUCAAACUUGCAAGAGUUCUAAUACUAUGUUGUCCGAAUGUUCAUAUCAAACAACAAGAUGGAACCAUCUUGACAAUGUCCAACAUUCAAGAAAAUUAGCUACCAAAUACCUUCAUAUCCCCCAAUGAUUGGUUUGAGGUUAUGUGAGAAAGAGCAACACGAUCAGAGUACACUGAUCUAAUUCCAUUAUUAGAUGUCGGACUUGAACCAGAACCUAGAGCGUCCAUUGCAGCAUCUUUUCCUUCAAAUUCAUACCUGCGGACCAUACAGCACAAAAGUAUGACUAUCAUAAAUAAUACCAUAACAAGGAAAGUAGCAUAGCGUAGCGGAUAUUGGCAUACCAGCUUCUGAGUUUCUUAGCUUCAGGUACGUCUGGAUUUACCAGAACUACACUUCUGCUUAUAGUUGACAAAGAAACACCUGAUACAGAUAUUCAAGAACGCUUAAUAUAUGAUCCUCUUGCACCAGUGUCACAUAGCGCUUAUCUAAGUAAAGGUUAGCAUACCUUGGAAGUCCCCAACCCUGAGAGACUUGAUUGCAACAACUGGAGAUUUAUCAACAAUGUCCAGUAACUCUUGUCCCGUGUUAGUAGCAAGAUCAUUCCACAACGACACAACCACUGUCUUCUUCCUGAAAUGUCAGGCGCACACAUUUAAAGCUACACAAUUCAACAAAGCUGUAUCCUACAAGGUAAGAACUAAAAUCAACUGCACUACAUGAAUCACAAUCAUCCAACGCAAUAUAAUGACCUCGUUCAAAAAAAACAUUGAUUAUCAUAGGAACACUCUUAAAAUCUCCCUAUACAUAAAGUUUCUCAAUAAUAAUACUCUAAUGGUUGAAAAACCAAACACUCAAGGUGAUAAGUAGUAAAUACUCACGUUUCAUCAGCAAUAGUAAUGUCGCGCUUUGGAAUGCUCUCGUUGUCACUCUUCCUACGAAUGCUCAUUGUUGAAGACACACUCUUAACAACUCCAAUGACAUCUGAGAUAACGUAAGAUACAAUCAAUAAUGAAAGAGGGAAAGAUUAAACCACAACAAUUAGCGCAUCUUCUAAACAACACUCACCCACAAGUUCAGACUUGUUGACAUAAGGACCUAACUGAUCAAUCUGGACAAAGCUAAAUUUUGUUUCUGGGACAAAACUUGCUUCGUCCGCCACCUCUUCCACCUCAGAAUUCUCAUUGAGCGUCAUUUCAUAGUCAUUUUGCACAGUCUUGAACUGUUUGUUAGCAACUUUCAAAGUCCCCUUCGAAAUAUAGUAAACCUUUCCCAGAACAAAUCUGUCAUAAAAUUUCCUCGCGGCAUCGUUAAACAUGGUUGCCUGGAUUUGAGUACCCUGAAAUUAGAGAAAAAAUAACAUCAACGACUAUACUUAACCAAAAAAACAGCAUCCAAUUCCCAAACAAAGAAAGAACAAAGCUUACUUCUUCGUCAGUCAAUUCAACAUUGAAUACACAACCUUCACCCCUAGCAUUCUUAUAGGUACGCAUGUUCCCUUUGCUUGUAACGCUAACCUUUAUCGUCCAAUUACCCUGAUAAGGGUUCAACGAAACAAGAGGACGUACCCUACGUGUCAUUGCCAAGCGUGCAGCAGGAGCCGAACUAAAAUAAAAUAAGAGAUAAAUUUUUUAAAAAAAAAUGUCGAAGAAUACAGUAAGCGAAAAAAAUCCCUAAAUAUCAGAACGCAUUGAAAGGAAACAAGAACACAAAAAUACCGCUCACUUUCUAUGUUGUUCAUUUAGAAUCUGAGCAGCAGAUUUUGUCACCACUUCCUGCUUUUGCUUCAAAAGAAUCCCAGCAGCACCUUCACUCUUCGCACCAACCUCUUCCUUGGGUUUCAAAAGAAUCGCAGGCUCAUCGCUCUUGAUCUCCUUUUCAAGAGCGGGAGAUACCGGCUCACAUUUCGUGACAAUAAGGUACCUGCAACAAAACAUACAGACCAAAAAUCAGAAACCUCGAAUCAUCUACGAAAGCUAGUGUACGGAACGAUAACUGCAACGAAACUACGUCUUACUUUUCAGAUUUGUUAGGGAUGUCGUUGAGAGUGUAAUCAAGAAUGCGAACAAGACCUAGGUUUUGAAUGUUCCCGGAAAGAACCUCAGAAUACAUAUUCGAAGGAAGAAUCGCCCUCAGUUUCUUUUUUCCAUCACUGGCAGAGAACCUAAAAUACCACAUAAAAUGCAUUAAGUGAAAAAAAUUGCAGGAAAUUCCAGAUCCGGAACAAAAAAAGGGGGAGGAGCAACGAAAUGAGUAGAUUAGAGAAACAAACAUGUAUCUAUUGCCGCUAGGCUUGAGAUCAACUACUUGAACAACGAUGUCGGAAAGAUCCGACGAAGAAUCGGGGGAAGGGUUAGCGAGGAGCGUCGAAACGGCGUCGGGUGUGAUUGAUUUUGCAGCCAUUGGAGGGAAGUUUUGGAGAAGAGAAAGGAAUGAAGAGAGAAGAAUAAGAGUAAGGUUGAGGAGCGCUGAGAGAGUGGUUUUGUACAGUGGGGAGUGUGGCGGGAAACGGCAAUUUUGUGAGCAGCGUUUUCAAUUCGAGGACUUUUCGCGCUUCGUUUUCCUAAGCUUCUCGCGCCAUUAGUUUUUACUUCUUUUUAUAUUCAUCGAUGGUAAUAAUAUUUUCUAUUUUUUAAUUGGAAUAUUACUUUAGAUAUAUCUAAAAGUUACGUUUGGUUAAAUUUUUUAGUUUUAAUAAUUUUUAAACAAACAAAUUAAAGUUUUAAUAAAGUUAGAAAAUACACUCUUUUAACAGAAGAAAACAAAUUAUGUGAUCAUAAAAAAAAUAGGAGUCAAUUGUAAUUGAUAAUAUAUUUCAAAAAUAUUCUAAAAGAGAAAUAAAUAUUUUCUAAUUUCAUAUUUCUAAAAAUGCAAAAGAAAAUCCGCAAAAUAUAUUCCUCUGUUGUUUUCCAUUUGUUUCCCCCUAAAUUGUGCCCGAAAAUAGUGUCGUUAUAUUUUUAUGAAAUAUAGUGCUUUAUUAAAUUUGAUUAUAAAUUGUAUCGAUAUCCAAACAAUGGAUCAAUAUUUUGUGAUUAGUUUAGAUUGGAUAUCGAAUUUAAUUUUUUGAAAAUAAAUCAAAUUGAAUUAUACAUAUGUAUUUACAUAUUUUUAUUUAUAAAUUUAUGAUAUUCUUCUUGUUUGUAUUUUUAUUAAGUUUAUUAGAUAACUUAUACUUAUUCAUACAAAAAUUAUCAGAUAUAUUUGUAUGAAUAUUUAGAAAAUGUAUAUAAAUAAAACAAUUAAGUUGUAUAAUUUUCUUAUUAAUAUAUAUGUUUGGAGAAUUACAUUACAGUUAGCUGUGUAAUCAUUAUUACGCCUUAUAAAUAAUAUCUAUUUGAUAAUUCAAAUAACUUGUAAUUAUCCUUACUAUAUAUAUUAUCAUUUCUUAAAUAUUUUCUAUAAUAAAAUAAAAGUAAGACAUAAAAUUGAAAAUCAAUCAAUCCAAAUCAUAUUUUCCGCUUUAAAAUUCAAAUUUUCAAAGUAAGACAUGUCACCAAGUUUUUUUUUUUCCUUACCCUUAUAUAUUUAAUCUUGUCUUCCCACUAAGUUAUGGUUUCCGUUUUUGCAAUAAAGAUAUCUUUGUUUAUUAUAAUUUAAAAUAAAAUAAAAAACAUAUAAAUAAUAUUAUAUGACGAAAAAAGAUUAACAUUAAGAUUUUUUUAUUGUGGUAUGAUGAUUAUUUGAUUUGAUUGUAUAGCUGUCUAAUCACAGAUUUUUGCAAUUAGUUUGAAAACACGAUAUUAGUUUGAAAGUGACUAAUACAUAUAGCUUAUCAACCAAAUCAGGCACAACGUUAAGUCAUAAUAGUUUAGAGGUUAUUUUAAUUUAACUAACAGUAUCCAUGUCACUAUUUUUAAUUGAAAUAUAUAUAUAUAUAUAUAUAUAUUAAACUAAUAGAUAAAUCAUAGCACAAGCACUAACUAAAUUCCAUUGAAAUUAUAACAUCUAUUCAAACAAACAACAUACAUAAUAAGAUCAAGAUAGGCAAAUUAAUUGCAAUACCAGCUCAACCUAAACUUAAACAUAAUUAUACAUAAACUAUUAUUAUGUAUAAUUUUAUGUGAUCCUGAAAAUCUAAAUACUCUACAUAAAUGUGAUAAACAGCAACAAAAAAAUACUUGUACUUUUGAAGCACAUAGCAGGAGUAAUAGAAAGAAGAAAUUUAUAGACAGAAACAAAAUUUAUAAGAAAAAUAAAGAGCCAUAUGUAAAAAAAGAAGGAAUGAAUUAUGGAUAGAAUAAAUAACUAUAAAAAUGUAAAAGAAAAGUUGGCAAGAACAAUGGAUUUUUCAUGCCAUCUAAGAGUCAUUGAUUAUUGACCUAAAUAACAUACAUGAGUUGUAUCCAUGUUUUAAAGCUUUAGAAUUUUACAUUUUGCUCUAUUCAUAAUGACACAUUCUUCAAUUGGAAAUAUAUAAGUUAUAUAUAGCCUUACAAAGAAAAAACUAAACACCAACAAAUAAAAUAUACUUAGUAUCUAUGACACAUAUACAUACACUGCCACAACACGAAUACGGAUACAAAGAUAGGUAUAAUAUCUAAAAUGUAGGACACGAUGACACAUAUUUAUAUAUUAUAUAAUUAUGAAUUAUAUAAAUUGACAAUAAAUAUUUACAUGCACAAGUAUGUUUCAUAUUUUUUGGAAACAGAAAGAUGUUUUUCAUGACUGGUUCAAAAUAAUUUUUUUCUUAUUUUUAUAAUCAUAAUAAAAAUUUAUACAAUAAAUUUAAUUUUUUUUUAAAUUAUUGUAUUUAUCAUUUUUAAAUUUAUGUUAUAACCGUACUAUAAUUGUCAGAAAUCCAACAAAUAUUUUUUAAAUUAAAUAUUUCACCGAUAAAUGUUUAAGAGAAUACUUUAAGAAGUGUUUGGAUAUAAGAACCCGUUAACAAUAUAAAAAGAAUAGGGAUUUAUUUAACGAAAUGAGCAAAUUUGAAUUAAUCCUAACAUUCUUACCAUUCCUACUUCUAUGUCAAUUAAAAAAUAAAAAUGUACUCAAUUACUUGUUCCACAACUAAAAGAAGAGUCAUUAUUGAAAAUGUGUAUAGAGGAUGAGAGUUCGAACAACCUUUACUUAUUCCAAAGAUCAUUGAUAGGUUCAGAACAUCAAAACAAACCAAAAGGUAUCUAACCACUUAUUAUAAUAAUAUUAAAAUAAUACACAUAUUAAUUUUAAUAUAUAUUGUACCUGGAGAGAUGGGGACCAGGCACGGUCGGUUGACGUAGUGUAAUUGUUGACGUGUCGAUCUUCUUCUUCGGUCGGUCGUUCCUUCUGGGUGUCUCCUUCAGUCGGUCGCUCCUUCUUGGUGUCUCCUUCGGUCGUGCGGGGGAGGGUACCUGCGAAGACACUCUGACGCUCAAGUGAGUAUGAGAUUCUAAGUGUGGUUUAGUGAGUGAGUGAGAACGUACCUUUAUCUGGCUUGAGCACGGUAUUUAUAGGAUUACCUAAUGGGCUUUCUACCCCUUUGGGCUCGGGGUGGUUAUGGAUAGGUCUUUGCCAGUCGUGCUCCAAAAUACCCGGGGAAUAUAUCUUUAAAUGCGUAUUCCUUAUUCUUCGGAGGUGUAUCUUAACCACCUUAUCUUGUUACGUAAAUAUCAAUAUAUCUUUAAAUGCAUAUUCCUUAUUCUUCGGAGGUGUAUCUUAACCACCUUAUCUUGUUACAUAAAUAUCAAUAUAUCUUUAAAUGCGUAUUCCUUAUUCUUCGGAGGUGUAUCUUAACCACCUUAUCUUGUUACAUAAAUAUCAAUAUAUCUUUAAAUGCGUUCGGUCGGUCGGCCACGUGCGUUCGUCCGGUGCCUAUCGGUACACUUGCCCCCCAGGCUCGAGGGGAAUAAAAGCCGAAGAGUCGUAAUGAUUGUUGUGCAUUUCGAUGUGUCAGGCAUUAAAUGUAACGGAAUGACGGGACGUGCUCUUUUGGUCGGAUGGGACAGAGAUCGAUCCGACGGUGGAGAUCGAGUGACGGUUCGACUUCCGACUGGCUGAGGUCGUAGGAUGAAUGUGCAUCUGACGGUUGAGGGAAGAGGAGGAAUGUUAUAAAUAGCGUUCGCAUUUAUUGACGGCCGGUUUGGAGAUUGCUUCCCACCUACUCUCCACCAUCCCUACAACGAAGUUGAUGGUGGAGACUUUAGAACUGCAAAGUCGGGCGCUCGUGGCGAGCCGAACGGUGAUUGAGGAACUUGAGAGAGUUACGACCGUCACCGUUCCUCGCUUGAAGAAGGAAAUGACGGAAGCAAACCAAGCUUCAAAGGCGUCGGCCGGGAUGGUCGAGAAGCUAAAAGGCCAACUGGAGGAGGAGCGGGCGGCCGUAAAGGCGUGUGAAGAGCAAAAAAGAGGGUUUGAGGUGCAAUUAAAGGAUGGGGCCAACCGGGAGGAGGCCCUCAAAGCUGAAGUGAAAAAAUGCCAAGACUUUAUGCUCCGCAUAAGUGAGGAGUACUUUCGGCUGGGUCUUCAAGAUGCAUAAAUAAUUUUGAUUACGUUAAAGUAAUGAUUCUGAUGCCGAACGAGGCAUAAAUAAUUCCGAUUAUGUUAAUGAUAAUUCUGAUGCCGAACGAGGCAUAAAUAAUUAUGAUUACGUUAAAGUAAUGAUAAUUCUGAUGCCGAAUGAGGCAUAAAUAAUUCCGAUUAAGUUAAAGUAAUGAUAAUUCUGAUGCCGAACGAGGCAUAAAUAAGAGAUUUAUGUGUAAGUGUGUGAUAUAUGUAGUGUGGCGAUCAUCACGAAGGGGGAACGGAUGCAAGUCUUCUCCUGCCUCCAUACGGGGAUCGUCCAUACGAGGGUCGAGAUCAACGAGGGCUAUCAUUUGUCGACGGGACAUGCGUCGUCCGGAAUGUCGGGUCGGGGAUCGUCCUCUUUUUUGCGGGAGUCGGUCGUCCGGAUUAGUUGUGUAGAGCCGUCGAGUUGGCUCAUUUUUCAAACUUGCGACAUAACAUUCUCUAGCGGUUUUUUGAUCGACAUGGAUUGUUGCAAUGUCGUUAUUUGCCGAAGGGAAUUUCAUGGCUAAGUGUGGGGUGGAAACAAUGGCUUUUAACCUGUUGAUGGACGGACGACCGAGCAAGAUGUUGUAGGAAGUCUGGGCGUUAACCAGAAGAUAUCGUACGAUUAUUGUUUUAUGGAGACCGUCUUCUUCACCAAAGGUUGUAUAUAAGUCUAUAUACCCCUUAGUGUCGACCCGUUCGCCUGAGAACCCUACGAUUUGUUCAUUAUAGGGUUGAAUGUCUGCUUCUGGGAUGCGCAUUUUCUUGAAGAUUUCCCAGUAUAAUAUGUCGACCGAGCUUCCUUGGUCUACCAAAGUCUUGGCAAUUGCGAACUUGUCAUUUUCCACGGUGAUUACCAUAGGAUCGUCCUANNNNNNNNNNNNNNNNNNNNNNNNNNNNNNNNNNNNNNNNNNNNNNNNNNNNNNNNNNNNNNNNNNNNNNNNNNNNNNNNNNNNNNNNNNNNNNNNNNNNNNNNNNNNNNNNNNNNNNNNNNNNNNNNNNNNNNNNNNNNNNNNNNNNNNNNNNNNNNNNNNNNNNNNNNNNNNNNNNNNNNNNNNNNNNNNNNNNNNNNNNNNNNNNNNNNNNNNNNNNNNNNNNNNNNNNNNNNNNNNNNNNNNNNNNNNNNNNNNNNNNNNNNNNNNNNNNNNNNNNNNNNNNNNNNNNNNNNNNNNNNNNNNNNNNNNNNNNNNNNNNNNNNNNNNNNNNNNNNNNNNNNNNNNNNNNNNNNNNNNNNNNNNNNNNNNNNNNNNNNNNNNNNNNNNNNNNNNNNNUGAAUUCCUUGUCCUCUUGACGAAUUGUCGCAAAUGGCCAGCCUGGAUGAGCUCUUCGAUUUUUUCCUUCAACGCCUGACAUCCUUCGGUUGUGUGGCCGAAGUUUCGAUGGUAUUGACAAUGCUUAGCGGUAUCUGCGUUCGAUGGCGUUUGAUAUCGCUUCAGUGUCGGGAUUAAGUCCGUUUGUAGUGCUUCAUAUAGGGCUCGUCCCCGCGGAACAGUUAAAGGGGUGUAACUGUUGAAUCUGGGCAUACGGCCUCCUCUAUUCUGAUCGGGCCUCUGAGUGGUUCGGACGGUCCGUUUGGCUUCGAUUUCUCUUUCCUUACUCGGGAUUUGAUCUUUGAGGACUCCGGAUCCGACGGCCUUGAACCGUUGGUGAUAGUCGAUGUGUUCUUCGAUUUGCAUGAAUUUGGUUGCUCAAGUGCGGAGAUCUUCCAUGUUUUGAGGUGGUUUUUUGAUGAGACUGUCGGCAAAACGACCCGGCCGGAUGGCCGAGACCAAAUGGUGUAAUGCAACGUCCUGUUUGAGUCCUCGGAUAUUCAUACAUGCUUUGUUGAACCUGUCUAGGAAGGUUCUAAGAGGUUCACCUUUCUCUUGUUGCACCGAUAGGAGAGACAUGGAAGACAUAUGAUGCGGUCGACUGGUGGCAUGUUGGGUAGAAAAUUUUGCGGCUAGGACGUCAAAGUCAUCGAUGGAGUUCAGAGGCAGCUCUGUAAACCAAGUAAGAGGUUCUCCUUGUAGUGACGUUGGAAAAACUUUACACCACACAUUGUUAUCUGUGGUGUACAAGGUCAUCUGUGUUUUAUAAACAUUUAAAUGCUCAUCUGGGUCGGUCGAGCCGUCAUAGAGUUUUAUGGUGAGACCCCUCCAUUUGUCAGGAAGUGGAGUAGCAAUAAUUUCGUCUGUAAAAGGAUGAGCCCUUUUACUCGACUUUCUUUCGAUUGUUUCAGCUCUGGAAGCAGGAUUGGUUUCGGCCGGCGUAGGUAUGCGAGAGGCGGUUCGGUCGGUUGCAUGGGAUUGUCCUUCUCGUUCAGGAUUAUCGACCUGUCGCUGGAGUCGCGCGUUCUGCUCUCUCAAUAAGGCGAUUUCUUCCUCUUGGCGAUGUCUAUCCUCUUCGUGUUGACGACGAUCGUCCAUCCCCUUUUGCCGCAGUUCCUCCAUCUGAGUUUGGAGGGUUUGAAUCAUGGUCAUCUGUUCCGCCAUGGCGUCGUUGUUGUUCCUUGUUGCAACCAUUAUAGCUUUAAAAAUUGAAACUUUGCCUCGGCCCCACGGUGGGCGCCAAUUGUACCUGUUGUGGAGAGAU